Long non-coding RNA from Xiphophorus couchianus (Monterrey platyfish), 1027 nucleotides. RefSeq lists it as uncharacterized. NCBI's taxonomy places the organism in Eukaryota, Metazoa, Chordata, Actinopteri, Cyprinodontiformes, Poeciliidae. The record is from RefSeq and is a predicted model, not a curated record. The transcript has 3 exons.
CACACAAACACACUGCAGUUCAAUCUGAGGGUUACCUUUGACCUCUAAAACAUCCGUAUGUAGCUGAAAAACUCAUUACAUUGCCCAUUUAAACCCUUUUAAUGGAUUUUGUGUGAUAGAGCAACUCAAAGUAUGUUGAAUGGAAAAGGAUAUACUUAUUUAUUUACCCUGUUUUACUCUAAUACCCAUAAAUAAAGCUUAGAACAAUAUUAGGUUGUAUAGAAGGAUGAUGGCGCAACAGCAAACCUACUAAAUGGCUUCACACAAGGGUGGGGCGAUGCAGGUCAAUGCUUUUGGUCAUAAGCACAAGUUUAGUUACUUUCUUUAAGAUUCCAAAAAAGGAAAAAUCAAAUUAUAAAUAUUUUGUUAGCAAUACAGUUUCAAAAUGAAAAUUAACAUUAAAUCUGUACUAUAAUGAAGAGGAUUAGGACCCCUUAAAAAUAAUUUUGACUUUUAGUUUUAAUUUUGACCCUUUAGGGAUCUUCGUUUGUUUUGUUUUCCCGAAAAAGUCAGAAUUGGGACAUUUUUCUUAAGAAUUUUAACAAAAAAAGUCAGAAUAAGCAUUUCAGAAUUAUAAAAUUUGUAAAAAAAACAAAAACAAAUCAGAAUUCUGAGAUUAAACUAAAUUCUUUUUUAUUCUUUGUCACCCUUCCUAAUCCGCCUCCAUAGCAUUCGCUUACGACGCUUUUAAAAAUUCCUUUUUCUAACAGUCCCUUAAACGCAUCAUCUCAGGUGCGUCCAAACAGACGUGAAGGAGAAAGCCGUUAAGACUUUAUAUUCGACCAAGGAAGGUGUUUUGUCCUCGCUCAACUCAGAAGAAACGACACUUCAGCCUCCAGUUGCCUACCAGCUAAUGAUAAGAUGCCUCGCUGUGAUUGUGAAGUUCAGAAGUUCAAAGAAGGGCGAGAAGCUUGCGGGGGAAAUGCAGGGACGCUGUCGAGCAGUGCCAGGUCGGUAAUGAAAGCCAGCUUCAUUCUUUACAUGCUCUUACAUCAUCAUCUGCACUGUUCAAGCAGCUGUUUUCCUC